AUUGAACGCUGGCGGCAUGCCUUACACAUGCAAGUCGAACGGUAACAGGUCUUCGGAUGCUGACGAGUGGCGAACGGGUGAGUAAUACAUCGGAACGUGCCUAGUAGUGGGGGAUAACUACUCGAAAGAGUGGCUAAUACCGCAUGAGAUCUACGGAUGAAAGCAGGGGAUCGCAAGACCUUGUGCUACUAGAGCGGCCGAUGGCAGAUUAGGUAGUUGGUGGGAUAAAAGCUUACCAAGCCGACGAUCUGUAGCUGGUCUGAGAGGACGAUCAGCCACACUGGGACUGAGAAACGGACCAGACUCCUACGGGAGGCAGCAGUGGGGAAUUUUGGACAAUGGGCGCAAGCCUGAUCCAGCAAUGCCGCGUGCAGGAUGAAGGCCUUCGGGUUGUAAACUGCUUUUGCACGGAACGAAAAGCCCCGGGUUAAUACCCUGGGGUCAUGACGGUACCGUAAGAAUAAGCACCGGCUAACUACGUGCCAGCAGCCGCAGUAA
This 498-nucleotide ribosomal RNA is filed under the name uncultured bacterium. Its description in RNAcentral is "partial 16S ribosomal RNA". It matches the Rfam family "Bacterial small subunit ribosomal RNA", at positions 30 to 523 of the family's 1533-position model. The record is from RNAcentral.